Molecule: small RNA, 600 nt
Filed under: Oryza sativa Japonica Group (Japanese rice)
Lineage: Eukaryota; Viridiplantae; Streptophyta; Magnoliopsida; Poales; Poaceae
Description: sRNA Os02g0784801
Source: RNAcentral
UAGUUAUACACCAUGUAUUUUGGAGUCGCGCUGAACUUCUGAUACCCUUUGAUGACCUUGUUUACAGCAUCAAGGAAGUCCUUCUCAGUCACUGUUUUCCGUCGGGCGCGAAUCGCAUACAUGCCAGCUUCUGUGCAGACACUCCUUAUAUCAGCUCCUUUGAGUUGGGGCAGAGGCGAGCCAGCAGCUCGAAACGGAUAUCGCGCUCACAGUUCAUGGUGCGUGUAUGUAUCUUGAAUAUUUGGGUACGGCCCUCCAGGUCAGGUAAGCCAAAUUCUACCUUCCUGUCCAAACGACCAGGACGUAGAAGUGCAGGAUCUAAGUAUGAUAUGCAAUACCUGUUUGUGGCCAUCAGAACCUUGAUGUUUCCCCUCGCAUCAAACCCAUCGAGUUGGUUCACAAUUUCCAACAUGGUACGCUGAACCUCAUUAUCACCCCCAACCCCAUCAUCGAAGCGAGCACCUCCAAUAGCAUCAACCUCAUCAAAGAAGACAAUGCAUGCUUUCUUCGAGCGGGCCAUCUGAAAUAAUUCCCGGACCAUCCGUGCCCCUUCACCAACAUAUUUUUGAACUAACUCACUGCCAAUUACACGGAUAAAAC